This 409-nucleotide ribosomal RNA is filed under the name uncultured Desulfobacterium sp. Its description in RNAcentral is "bacterial SSU rRNA". It matches the Rfam family "Bacterial small subunit ribosomal RNA", at positions 973 to 1382 of the family's 1533-position model. Lineage: Bacteria; Pseudomonadati; Thermodesulfobacteriota; Desulfobacteria; Desulfobacterales; Desulfobacteriaceae. The record is from RNAcentral.
ACCUGGGUUUGACAUCUCGGGAAUCUGUGGAACACGAGAGUGCCCUUCGGGGAGCCCGAAGACAGGCGCUGCAUGGCUGUCGUCAGCUCGUGUCGUGAGAUGUUGGGUUAAGUCCCGCAACGAGCCGCAACCCCUAUCUCUAGUUGCCAGCGAUUCGUCGGGGACUCUAGAGAUACUGCCCCGGUUAACGGGGAGGAAGGUGGGGAUGACGUCAAGUCCUCAUGGCCCUUAUGCCCAGGGCUACACACGUGCUACAAUGGGCGGUACAAAGGGCAGCCACUUAGCGAUAAGGCGCGAAUCCCGUAAAACCUGUCUCAGUCCGGAUUGGAGUCUGCAACUCGACUCCAUGAAGUUGGAAUCGCUAGUAAUCGCAGAUCAGCACGCUGCGGUGAAUACGUUCCCGGGCCUU